Molecule: ribosomal RNA, 404 nt
Filed under: Actinomycetes bacterium
Lineage: Bacteria; Bacillati; Actinomycetota; Actinomycetes
Description: Actinobacteria bacterium partial 16S ribosomal RNA
Rfam family: Bacterial small subunit ribosomal RNA
Source: RNAcentral
UGGGGAAUAUUGGACAAUGGGCGCAAGCCUGAUCCAGCCAUGCCGCGUGAGUGAUGAAGGCCCUAGGGUUGUAAAGCUCUUUCACCGGUGAAGAUAAUGACGGUAACCGGAGAAGAAGCCCCGGCUAACUUCGUGCCAGCAGCCGCGGUAAUACGAAGGGGGCUAGCGUUGUUCGGAUUUACUGGGCGUAAAGCGCACGUAGGCGGACUAUUAAGUCAGGGGUGAAAUCCCGGGGCUCAACCCCGGAACUGCCUUUGAUACUGGUAGUCUUGAGUUCGAGGGAGGUGAGUGGAAUUCCGGGUGUAGAGGUGAAAUUCGUGGAUAUUCGGAGGAAAACCAGUGGCGAAGGCGGCUCACUGGCUCGGUACUGACGCUGGGGUGCGAAAGCGUGGGGAGCAAACAGG